AUUGAACGCUGGCGGCAUGCCUUACACAUGCAAGUCGAACGGUAGAGUAGCAAUACUUGAGAGUGGCGAACGGGUGAGUAAUAUAUCGGAACGUGCCCAGUCGUGGGGGAUAACGUAGAGAAAUUUACGCUAAUACCGCAUACGAUCUAAGGAUGAAAGCGGGGAUUCGCAAGAACCUCGCGCGAUUGGAGCGGCUGAUAUCAGAUUAGGUAGUUGGUGAGGUAAAGGCUCACCAAGCCGACGAUCUGUAGCUGGUCUGAGAGGACGACCAGCCACACUGGGACUGAGACACGGCCCAGACUCCUACGGGAGGCAGCAGUGGGGAAUUUUGGACAAUGGGCGCAAGCCUGAUCCAGCAAUGCCGCGUGCAGGAUGAAGGCCUUCGGGUUGUAAACUGCUUUGUACGGAACGAAACGGUGAGCUCUAAUACAGUUUGCUAAUGACGGUACCGUAAGGAUAAGCACCGGCUAACUACGUG
This 478-nucleotide ribosomal RNA is filed under the name uncultured bacterium. Its description in RNAcentral is "bacterial SSU rRNA". It matches the Rfam family "Bacterial small subunit ribosomal RNA", at positions 30 to 507 of the family's 1533-position model. The record is from RNAcentral.